This 422-nucleotide ribosomal RNA is filed under the name uncultured eukaryote. RNAcentral's name for it is "bacterial SSU rRNA". It matches the Rfam family "Eukaryotic small subunit ribosomal RNA", at positions 650 to 1070 of the family's 1831-position model. The record is from RNAcentral.
GGAACUUUGGUGAAAUAAUGCCUUUUUUAAUACCAGAGUGUAAAAACUUGAAGUGUUAAAUUGGGAUCACAUUAUUUUAUUGUAAGUGGGGUUCUAGUUAAUUUACUUUGAGUAAAUUAGAGUGUUCAAAGCAGCCUCUUGGGGCUUUGAAUAGAUUUAGCAUGGGAUAAUAGAAUAGGAUUUGAUAAUCUAUUUGUUGGUUUGAAUUAAUCAAAUAAUGAUUAAUAGGGACAGUUGGGGCAUUCAUAUUAAGUGGUUAGCGGUGAAAUGUGUGGACCCACUUAAGAUGAACUAAAGCGAAAGCAUUUGCCAAGGAUGUUUUCAUUAAUCAAGAACGAAAGUUAAGGGAUCGAAGACGAUUAGAUACCGUCGUAGUCUUGACUGUAAACUAUGCCGACCAGGGGAUAUGAGUAGGUUAUUUC